GGCUUCAGAGCACUAUUGCAGCUGUUAAAUUCACAUGCUGAUGGAGUUCAGGUAUACUUGGGACUGAGCUAUCUGGAGGCAGUUGAAUACACAAUCCUGAAGUGCAGGAGAGAGGUAUGGACUAAAGACGUGUGUGUCUCCUAUUCUGAGUGAUUAUAUAGACAGAAAAGAGGAGGGCUUUUUUUAAAUUUUUUUUUUAGUUUAUUCUCAAUUGCAGGUGUUUCCCCUUGCUGGCAGAGUUCCUUUAAGUCUUGACAAUAAAAAGGGCAUUCUUGUUGUCCACCCUUGUAGGAUGCAUGUCUGGGCCAAUCAAUAAAAAGAAAAGACU
This 328-nucleotide long non-coding RNA is filed under the name Homo sapiens (human). RNAcentral's name for it is "novel transcript". Lineage: Eukaryota; Metazoa; Chordata; Mammalia; Primates; Hominidae. The record is from RNAcentral.